GUCUGCUGCCUUGCGAGUCGGCCCCUCCUCAAUUAUAUCCAUGCCAUCUGUUCCAGUUUGGGAAGCUACAAUUGCAGUUUCAUGAAUGGAGACCAAGUUGGAUGGGCGGAUUUAAUGAGUGCUGCUAAUCCACUCACAUGAGGACAAGCCAUUGAAGUACCUGAUAAGAAGGCAAACCCAUUGCUAGUUCCAGCAUCAACUGGUGAAUAAGCUGCUAAGAUGUUCACUCCUGGGGCAGCAACAUCGGGCUGCAUCAUCAACCAAACACGAAUUAUAAGGAGACAAGGUGAUGGAAGAUUCCAAAGAUCUUUUAAUUUUGGAGCAACUCUAUUUUUCAUACAUGGCAAUGCUAUUCCUGAAACCAAUCUGUUGAGUCUGCUAUUACCUUUAGCACAGCAGGAGACAUGGAACUGGGUCCUCUGGACGAGAAAUAUGCAACAUGUGGAGAUGCCCAUUUCCCUGUAACAGUCUUUGGAAAUUUCAGCUUUGCAGUAGGAGACCUUCACCGACAAGUUUAUGAGGAAUUAAAUCACAUGACUCAAGCUGACUGGUGGGGAACUGUG
Molecule: long non-coding RNA, 563 nt
Organism: Vitis riparia (riverbank grape)
Lineage: Eukaryota; Viridiplantae; Streptophyta; Magnoliopsida; Vitales; Vitaceae
Exons: 3
Source: RefSeq, a predicted model, not a curated record